This is a long non-coding RNA of Zonotrichia leucophrys gambelii, 616 nucleotides long. RefSeq lists it as uncharacterized. The transcript is spliced from 3 exons. The record is from RefSeq and is a predicted model, not a curated record. NCBI's taxonomy places the organism in Eukaryota, Metazoa, Chordata, Aves, Passeriformes, Passerellidae.
GCCCGCAUCUCUCCUGCACCCUGUGCCCGCAGUCUGUGCCCACUCCCUGUGCCUGCUCAUUCUGCCCGCACUCUGUGCCCGCUCCAUCUGCCCGCCCCCUGUGCCUGCAGCCUGUGCCCUCAUCUCUGCCCGCACUCUGUGCCCGCAGCCUCUGCCUGCACCCUCUGCCCACUCCCUGUGCCCUCUCCCUGUGCCCGCUGGAUUUUGGCUGCUGCCAGACUGGUGGGGAGCUCUGGCUCCUGCAGUUGCUGUGCAGGGGUGUCCCCUGGGGCUCAGCCCCUGGACUGCGUCCUAAUCCAGACCAAGGGUGGGAGCAGAGACAGUGACCUUUGCCAAGGGCUCUGGUGCACAAUGGACUGGCGGAUCAAUACGUGUACGAGUGCAACAUGUCAACAUCCCUGCACCUCCUGAGCUGGCCAGGGUGGCCUUGCUGCUGCUGAGGACAUUAACUGCAGCCUCCUGAAAGGCUUUUUGUGAGGUGUACAGCCCUAGAGAAAGGCUGGACUUUGUAGGAGAGAUGGGUUCCUAUAGAUCAUGCAGCAUAUUUCAUCAGGAGAAUAAUUCAUCUUUCUUAUUUUCCUGAGGAAUCCUUUGCCCACACUGCACUCGUUUGUAA